This 82-nucleotide transfer RNA is filed under the name Phycisphaerae bacterium. RNAcentral's name for it is "tRNA-Leu". It matches the Rfam family "tRNA". Rfam says of the family: Transfer RNA (tRNA) molecules are approximately 80 nucleotides in length. Their secondary structure includes four short double-helical elements and three loops (D, anti-codon, and T loops). The record is from RNAcentral. Lineage: Bacteria; Pseudomonadati; Planctomycetota; Phycisphaerae.
GCGAGGGUGGCGGAAUUGGCAGACGCGCCAGGUUUAGGACCUGGUGUCUUAGGACAUGCGGGUUCGAGUCCCGCCCCUCGCA